GACGAACGCUGGCGGCGUGCUUAACACAUGCAAGUCGAACGGAAAGGCCCUGCUUUUGUGGGGUGCUCGAGUGGCGAACGGGUGAGUAACACGUGAGUAACCUGCCCUUGACUUUGGGAUAACUUCAGGAAACUGGGGCUAAUACCGGAUAGGAGCUCCUGCUGCAUGGUGGGGGUUGGAAAGUUUCGGCGGUUGGGGAUGGACUCGCGGCUUAUCAGCUUGUUGGUGGGGUAGUGGCUUACCAAGGCUUUGACGGGUAGCCGGCCGGAGAGGGUGACCGGCAAAAUGGGAACGGAGUUACGGCCCGGCCUCCUACGGGGGGAAGAGGGGGGAAUAUUGCACAAUGGGCGGAAGCCUGAUGCAGCAACGCCGCGUGCGGGAUGACGGCCUUCGGGUUGUAAACCGCUUUCGCCUGUGACGAAGCGUGAGUGACGGUAAUGGGUAAAGAAGCACCGGCUAACUACGUG
Molecule: ribosomal RNA, 467 nt
Filed under: uncultured bacterium
Lineage: Bacteria
Description: partial 16S ribosomal RNA
Rfam family: Bacterial small subunit ribosomal RNA
Source: RNAcentral